GCUGUGGUUAGGGGUGAAAGGCCAAUCAAACUCGGCGAUAUCUGGUUCUCCCCGAAAUGCCUUUAGGGGCAGCGUUACGGUAGUAUCUUGGGGGUAGAGCACUGGAUGGUACUAGGGGCCCUACAAGGUUACCAAACCCUAACCAAACUCCGAAUACCAAGAUUAUGAUCCGUGGCAGUGAGGCCGUGGGGGAUAAGCUUCAUGGCCGAAAGGGAAACAACCCAGACCAACAGCUAAGGUCCCCAAAUCCGGGUUAAGUGACAAAGGAUGUGGGAUUGCUUAAACAGCUAGGAGGUUGGCUUAGAGGCAGCCAUCCUUUAAAGAAAGCGUAACAGCUCACUAGUCAAGGAAUCCUGCGCCGAUAAUCUCCGGGACUGAUAAACCCGGUACCGAAGCUAUGGUCUUUCCGAUUUAUCGGGAAGAGGUAGGGGAGCGUUCCAUUAACCUGUGAAGCCUUUGCCGGAAGGCGGGGUGGAGGAGAUGGAAGUGAGUAUGCUGGCAUAAGUAGCGAUAAACUCGAUGAAAUUUCGAGUCACCGAAAGCCUAAGGUUUCCUGAGUAAAGUAAAUCUGCUCAGGGUUAGUCGGACCCUAAGCCGAGGCCGAAAGGCGUAGGCGAUGGAUAACAGGUGAAUAUUCCUGUACUACCCUGUUGUUGUCUGAGUGAUGGGGGGACGCAGAAGUGAAAGGUCAGCCCGGUUUUGAUUGUCCGGGUUUAAGUGAGUAGGGGGUUCUGGUAGGCAAAUCCGCCGGAACUUAACCCCGAGACACGAAUAGGAGGGCCUAGCCCAUAAACUGACCCUAAUCAUGCUGCCAAGAAAAUCCUCUAAACAAGAUGACAGGGUAACCGUACCUCAAACCGACACAGGUAGGCGAGAUGAGUAUUCUAAGGUGCUUGGGUGAAUUCCAGUUAAGGAACUCGGCAAAUUGACCCCGUAACUUCGGGAGAAGGGGUGCCUCGAUUAGAUGAAAUCUCCUUCGGGCAGAUGGAGUCGAAAGAGGCCGCAGUGAAAUGGCUCGGGCGACUGUUUACUAAAAACACAGGUCUCUGCUAAGUCGUAAGACGAAAUAUAGGGACUGACACCUGCCCGGUGCCGGAAGGUUAAGGGAACGUGUUAUCCCGCUUCGGCGGGAGAAGCUCAGAACCGAAGCCCCGGUAAACGGCGGCCGUAACUAUAACGGUCCUAAGGUAGCGAAAUUCCUUGUCGGGUAAGUUCCGACCCGCACGAAUGGUGUAACGACUUGAGCGCUGUCUCUACUGGAAACCCAGCGAAAUUGUAGCGUCGGUGAAGAUACCGGCUACCCGCGGCAGGACGAAAAGACCCCGUGAACCUUUACUACAGCUUGACAUUGGGUUUUGGUUCUAUAUGUGUAGGAUAGGUGGGAGGCUAUGAAGUUUCAGCGCUAGUUGGAAUGGAGCCAUCCUUGAAAUACCACCCUUAUAUUUCCGGAAUUCUAAUCCCGACCCUUGAAUCAGGGCGAGAAACAUUGUCAGGUGGGUAGUUUGACUGGGGCGGUCUCCUCCUAAAGAGUAACGGAGGAGCUCAAAGGUUCCCUCAGCACGGUCGGUAAUCGUGCAAAGAGUGCAAAGGCAUAAGGGAGCUUGACUGCAAGGCUGACGGGCCAAGCAGAUGCGAAAGCAGGACUUAGUGAUCCGGCGAUUCCGUAUGGAAGGGUCGUCGCUCAUCGGAUAAAAGGUACUCCGGGGAUAACAGGCUUAUCGCCUUCGAGAGCUCAUAUCGACGAGGCGGUUUGGCACCUCGAUGUCGGCUCAUCACAUCCU
RNAcentral lists this ribosomal RNA (1781 nucleotides) under metagenome. RNAcentral's name for it is "bacterial LSU rRNA". It matches the Rfam family "Bacterial large subunit ribosomal RNA", at positions 808 to 2548 of the family's 2925-position model. The record is from RNAcentral.